CGCAAGAGACCGCGGGGGUGGAAAAGGCCGCUCGGUCGAGAUUGCGCGCGGUUUGACUCUUUUCACCAACAAUAAUCUGGUGCCCAACAUUGGGCCUCAGAGAAGACUCAGGACCCUGAAGGAGUUGCCCAAAACUGGAGCUAAGGUACCAGCAGGAGCCCAUUGAAGCCUCACCGAAUUCGAGCUUCUCCUUCGGUGGAACUGGAUAAAAUGAGAAGAUAGCAAUCUGCAAACCAAGAAGCAGACCCUCAUCAGACAUUGGCACCUUGAUUUUGGACUUCCCAGCCUCCAGAACUAAUGCAACAGCGAGACAGCCGUCUAC
This 322-nucleotide long non-coding RNA is filed under the name Pan troglodytes (chimpanzee). Its description in RNAcentral is "long non-coding RNA NONPTRT005639". Lineage: Eukaryota; Metazoa; Chordata; Mammalia; Primates; Hominidae. The record is from RNAcentral.